CUCCCCCUCUCUCUGCCCCUCCCAUGCUCAUGCUCUGUCUCUCUCUGUCUCUCAAUAACAACUAAACGUUAAAAACAAUUAAAAAAGUAAAUAAAAGAUCAUUCUGGAAGCUGUGUGGAGAAAAGAUUGUAGUUGGGCAAGAAUGGAAGCAGGAAGACCAGCUGGGAAGCUUUUUCAGGCAUCUAGACAAGAGAUGACAGCAAUGGAGAUGGGAAAUAGUGGAGAGAUUUGGAUCCUGCUAACGGAUUGGCUUGGAAAGGACAUAGCAUAUAACAAUCUUUUUUCUUGAAAUGCAAGGCUAUAUAAAUAUAUGUACUCUGUAUGUGGCAAGUCAGGGUUUUUUUUUUUUUGUUUGUUUUUUGUUUUUUUUUUUUUUUUCCUGUGCCAUUGGUGGAGAGGGGGAAUUCUUGGCAAGGAAAAGAAAAGAGACAGAGACUUGGUAGCCCAACAAGCACUCAAGUUAUGUUCUGGGAUGCAUUCAACAUAAGCAAUUUUUUCUUAAAUAAAGAAAAAAUAGAUUGCCUUGUAUGUACUCUGCUCUGAAGAUUCUGACAGGCCAAAAGACUCCACUGAGCUCAUGGAAUGGAGGAUGGACCUCUGUCAUGGAACCAAGAGCUGUGCAGAGGAGAAAGUGUGGAAAUGUGGAGGAGGAGCGGUGGAGGAAGGAGAGGAGAAGAAGACGGCUCAGAGCAGGAGGACAAAACUGGGAACGCAUCCAAGACAAGUCUAACCGGGAGAAAUGCAAUGGGGAGACCAGUGUAUGGGCCAACACUCCAGAGAAAGAGCAAAAUCAGAAUUUAAAGGCAGAAGAAUGGAGAAAGAAGAGGCUCCUUGCUUAAGAAAGCCCAAGAAACUGUUACAGCCAAGAGGACCAGAAAAUGGAUGUCAGGAGAUGGAAGCUACUCUUCGUGGGAGCAUAGCAGGAUGCAUAGACUUGCUGAGUCAGUAUGUCCUACACCUGAAAGUAAUGUAACAUUGUGUCACCUAUACUUCAAUGAAAAAAAAAUUUGUGUUUGAAUUUGAAAACUCUCCAUCUGGAAGAGUAAAUAAAAAGUUAUAAUAUGAACCCCA
This 1071-nucleotide long non-coding RNA is filed under the name Felis catus (domestic cat). Its description in RNAcentral is "lncRNA (ENSFCAG00000044645.2)". The record is from RNAcentral. Lineage: Eukaryota; Metazoa; Chordata; Mammalia; Carnivora; Felidae.